Molecule: non-coding RNA, 993 nt
Filed under: Gastrophysa polygoni
Lineage: Eukaryota; Metazoa; Arthropoda; Insecta; Coleoptera; Chrysomelidae
Source: RNAcentral
AUAUAUUUUAAUAGAUUAUUUAAUUUAUUAUUAUAAAUUAAAUAAAGUAUUUAUACUAUUUUUUUAUUCGGGGGUUAUUAAAAGUUAAUAAUUAGUUGUUAAAUAAUUAAUUUUUUAAUUUUUAAUGAUCACUAGGUUAUUUUAAAAUGUUAUGGGGAUUUUAAAGUAAUUCUAGUUUUUGUGGGAGGGAAACACCCUAUUUAUGUUUACAUAUUUAUUGAUAGUUAAAAAAAGUUUUAUUAAAGCUUAAAAAUUUAGUAUAGUUUUAGUUUAAAUGUAAAUUUUUGUGUUUUUAUUUUUUUUAAUAAAAUAUAAUGAAUUUGCAAUAAAUAAUUUUAAAUAUUAAGGAAAUUUAGAUUUAGUAAUAAUAAAAGUAUUAACAAAAUUUGUGCCAGCAGUUGCGGUUAUACAAGUUAUACAAUUAAAUAUUUUUAGUUUUAAUUUAUUGAUAAUUAAUAAUUUUGUAUUUAAAUUUAAUAAGUGAAAUUUUAAAUUUUGAAAAGAUUAAUAUUUGUUAAUGAUUUAAUAAAUUUUAAAUAUAAACUAGGAUUAGAUACCCUAUUAUUUAAAAUGUAAUUGUAAAGACUAAAUUAGUAUUUGUUAUAUUCAUGAAAAUUAAAGAUUUUGGCGGUAUUUUAGUCUAUUCAGAGGAACCUGUUCUAUAAUUGAUAGUCCACGAUUAAAUUUACUUUUUUUAUAUAAAUUUAUAUAUCGUCGUAGUUUGAAUAUUUUAUAAGAAUUUAAAUAUUCAAGAUUUAUAAUAAUAAAAUAAAUCAGAUCAAGGUGUAGUUUAUAAAAAAGUAGAGAUGGGUUACUUUAAUAUAAAUUUGAGAUAAUUAUUUUUAUAAUAUUUUGAAUUAGGAUUUGACAGUAAUUUUAAUUAUUUAAUUAAAAUGAUUUUAGCUCUAAAAUAUGUACAUAUCGCCCGUCGCUUUCAUUUUAAUGUGAAAUAAGUCGUAACAAAGUAAAUUUACUGGAAAGUGAAUUUAGAUU